CAUUACAGAGUUUAACCACUCAAAACCAUUGUGAACCUUACCUCAACCGUUGCUUCGGCGGGCGGGCCCCAAAAGCCCCCCCGGCCCCUCGCGGGCGCCCGCCGGAGGUUAACCGAACCCUUGAAUUGUAUGGCCUCUCUGAGUCUUCUGUACUGAAUAAGUCAAAACUYUCAACAACGGAUCUCUUGGUUCUGGCAUCGAUGAAGAACGCAGCGAAAUGCGAUAAGUAAUGUGAAUUGCAGAAUUCAGUGAAUCAUCGAAUCUUUGAACGCACAUUGCGCCCGCCAGUAUUCUGGCGGGCAUGCCUGUCCGAGCGUCAUUUCAACCAUCAAGCCCCGGGCUUGUGUUGGGGCCCUGCGGCUGCCGCAGGCCCUGAAAACCAGUGGCGGGCUCGCUAGUCACUCCGAGCGUAGUAGUUUACACCUCGCUCAGGGCGUGCUGCGGGUUCCGGCCGUUAAAAGCCUUAUUUUACCCAAGGUUGACCUCGGAUCAGGUAGGAAGACCCGCUGAACUUAA
This 516-nucleotide ribosomal RNA is filed under the name uncultured fungus. Its description in RNAcentral is "eukaryotic LSU rRNA". The stretch from base 166 to 319 matches the Rfam family "5.8S ribosomal RNA". The record is from RNAcentral. Lineage: Eukaryota; Fungi.